RNAcentral lists this unclassified non-coding RNA (350 nucleotides) under uncultured fungus. RNAcentral's name for it is "partial contains small subunit ribosomal RNA, internal transcribed spacer 1, and 5.8S ribosomal RNA". The stretch from base 1 to 73 matches the Rfam family "Eukaryotic small subunit ribosomal RNA", at positions 1759 to 1831 of the family's 1831-position model. The record is from RNAcentral. Lineage: Eukaryota; Fungi.
UCAAACUUGGUCAUUUAGAGGAAGUAAAAGUCGUAACAAGGUUUCCGUAGGUGAACCUGCGGAAGGAUCAUUAUUGAAUAAACUUGGUUAGAUUGUUGCUGGCUCUUAGGGGCAUGUGCACGUCUAAUUCAUUUUUAACCACCUGUGCACAUUGUGUAGAUCUGAUAUACUCGAGGAAAAUCGGUUUGAGAACUGCUGUGCGCAAGCCAGCUUUUCUUGUAAUCAGGUCUAUAUUCUUAUAUACCCCAUAUGAAUGUAUUCGAGUGUUGUACUGGGCCUUUGUGCCUCUAAAAAUCAAUACAACUUUCAACAACGGAUCUCUUGGCUCUCGCAUCGAUGAAGAACGCAGC